This 262-nucleotide ribosomal RNA is filed under the name uncultured bacterium. RNAcentral describes it as "partial 16S ribosomal RNA". It matches the Rfam family "Bacterial small subunit ribosomal RNA", at positions 330 to 592 of the family's 1533-position model. The record is from RNAcentral.
UCCUGCCUACGGGGCGCAGCAGUGAGGAAUAUUGGUCAAUGGUCGGGAGACUGAACCAGCCAAGCCGCGUGAGGGAUGAAGGUACAGAGUAUCGUAAACCUCUUUUGUCAGGGAACAAAGGCGGGGACGCGUCCCCGGAUGAGUGUACCUGAAGAAAAAGCAUCGGCUAACUCCGUGCCAGCAGCCGCGGUAAUACGGAGGAUGCGAGCGUUAUCCGGAUUUAUUGGGUUUAAAGGGUGCGCAGGCGGUCUGUUAGGUCAGC